UGCUUGCAAACUGAAGAUGGCGACCGGCGCACGGGUGAGUAACACGUAUCCAACCUGCCGAUAACUCCGGAAUAGCCUUUCGAAAGAAAGAUUAAUACCGGAUGGCAUACGAAUAUCGCAUGAUAUUUUUAUUAAAGAAUUUCGGUUAUCGAUGGGGAUGCGUUCCAUUAGUUUGUUGGCGGGGUAACGGCCCACCAAGACUACGAUGGAUAGGGGUUCUGAGAGGAAGGUCCCCCACAUUGGAACUGAGACACGGUCCAAACUCCUACGGGAGGCAGCAGUGAGGAAUAUUGGUCAAUGGGCGAGAGCCUGAACCAGCCAAGUAGCGUGAAGGAUGAAGGCUCUAUGGGUCGUAAACUUCUUUUAUAUGGGAAUAAAGUUUUCCACGUGUGGAAUUUUGUAUGUACCAUAUGAAUAAGGAUCGGCUAACUCCGUGCCAGCAGCCGCGGUAAUACGGAGGAUCCGAGCGUUAUCCGGAUUUAUUGGGUUUAAAGGGAGCGUAGGUGGAUUGUUAAGUCAGUUGUGAGAGUUUGCGGCUCAACCGUAAAAUUGCAGUUGAAACUGGCAGUCUUGAGUACAGUAGAGGUGGGCGGA
This 594-nucleotide ribosomal RNA is filed under the name uncultured Bacteroidales bacterium. RNAcentral describes it as "bacterial SSU rRNA". It matches the Rfam family "Bacterial small subunit ribosomal RNA", at positions 77 to 665 of the family's 1533-position model. Lineage: Bacteria; Pseudomonadati; Bacteroidota; Bacteroidia; Bacteroidales. The record is from RNAcentral.